Molecule: ribosomal RNA, 558 nt
Filed under: Bacillus pumilus
Lineage: Bacteria; Bacillati; Bacillota; Bacilli; Caryophanales; Bacillaceae
Description: bacterial SSU rRNA
Rfam family: Bacterial small subunit ribosomal RNA
Source: RNAcentral
GCUCGCAGGCGGUUUCUUAAGUCUGAUGUGAAAGCCCCCGGCUCAACCGGGGAGGGUCAUUGGAAACUGGGAAACUUGAGUGCAGAAGAGGAGAGUGGAAUUCCACGUGUAGCGGUGAAAUGCGUAGAGAUGUGGAGGAACACCAGUGGCGAAGGCGACUCUCUGGUCUGUAACUGACGCUGAGGAGCGAAAGCGUGGGGAGCGAACAGGAUUAGAUACCCUGGUAGUCCACGCCGUAAACGAUGAGUGCUAAGUGUUAGGGGGUUUCCGCCCCUUAGUGCUGCAGCUAACGCAUUAAGCACUCCGCCUGGGGAGUACGGUCGCAAGACUGAAACUCAAAGGAAUUGACGGGGGCCCGCACAAGCGGUGGAGCAUGUGGUUUAAUUCGAAGCAACGCGAAGAACCUUACCAGGUCUUGACAUCCUCUGACAACCCUAGAGAUAGGGCUUUCCCUUCGGGGACAGAGUGACAGGUGGUGCAUGGUUGUCGUCAGCUCGUGUCGUGAGAUGUUGGGUUAAGUCCCGCAACGAGCGCAACCCUUGAUCUUAGGUGCCAGCA